CAAACGGUAUGAAAUGGAAGGAAGAAAUGGGAAGAAAUGGGAAAUUCUUCCUUUAAAUACUCACUCACUUCAGAUAAGUGACCUCAGCAUAAUUUAUUGUCCAUCAGUGACUUUAAAGUAGCCACUUCUCUCACAUGCUAUUCCAGCAGGGCAGAAGACUUCUUUUUUGGCCCUUCAUUCUAGCUUUGGAUGUAAUUUACAAAGAUGAACCCUUGAGCAUGUAAAUGGUCAAUUCUACAUGGGUGGGCAAGAUAUUAACUUGAUAAAACAUAUCAAAAUAGCUGCUUAAUUCAGUUAACUAGAGUUCUGAAGCUUGAAGCUCUCUCUCUGUAUUUUAGAACAGCCCUCAUACUUGCUGUAAAUUUUGCAUCAUCAAGUGUAGUCAGGCUGCUUCUUGAGCAAGGCGUUGAUAUCUCUCCUCAAGAUCGCUAUGGACGGAAUGCAGAAGACUAUGCUGUUAUCAAGGGUCAUCAUAUGAAUCACCACAUGAUUUUGGAGUAUCAACGAGAAAUGGGACCUAAAACUCCUGCUCAAGAUAGUAACCUAGGUAAGACUGCUGAUAGGGAAUUACUUUUAGUGAUCUUACCAUAGAGAAUGUAAGAGUGAGGACAUUUUGAGAAUGAAAGAGCAAUGAAAAGAACCUUGUGUAAAUUGCUUCUGGACUUUUUUAGUUAAUUAAAUUCUUAAUAGUUUAGCAUCCAGAAUUGUUUAAGAAAUCAGUUUACAUAAUUUAAUAUCAGAGACAGUGUUAUUGAAAAGAAAUGAAUGCAUUUAGCUAUGGAGCUUAAAAUCCUGUAAAUAAGAAAAAUGGUUUUUUUGUUUGUUUGUUUCUUUGAAGGCCACACCUGAAGCAUAAGGAUGUUCCCAGGCUAGGGUUCAAAUCAGAGCUGAAGCUUCUGGCCCACACCACAGCCACAGAAAUACUGGAUCUGAGCACAUCUGUGACCUAUGCUACAGCUUAGGUCCAUAACCUGAUCCAUAACCCACUGAGUGAGUCUAGGGAUGGAACUCACAUCCUCACAGAGACAACAUUGGGUCCUUAGCCUGCUGAGCCACAAGGGAAACUCCUUUUCUUUUUUUGCCUGUUCUAAGGCCGCUUCCGCAGCAUAUAGACGUUCCCA
RNAcentral lists this long non-coding RNA (1121 nucleotides) under Sus scrofa (pig). RNAcentral's name for it is "lncRNA (ENSSSCG00060040009.1)". Lineage: Eukaryota; Metazoa; Chordata; Mammalia; Artiodactyla; Suidae. The record is from RNAcentral.